This 329-nucleotide unclassified non-coding RNA is filed under the name soil metagenome. Its description in RNAcentral is "partial contains 5.8S ribosomal RNA, internal transcribed spacer 2, and large subunit ribosomal RNA". The stretch from base 1 to 120 matches the Rfam family "5.8S ribosomal RNA", at positions 35 to 154 of the family's 154-position model. The record is from RNAcentral.
GAUGAAGAACGUAGUGAAAUGCGAUAAGUAAUGUGAAUUGCAGAAUUCAGUGAAUCAUCGAAUCUUUGAACGCACAUUGCGCCCUCUGGUAUUCCGGGGGGCAUGCCUGUUCGAGCGUCAUUAUAACCACUCAAGCUCUCGCUUGGUAUUGGAGUUCGCGAUCUCGCGGCUCCUAAAAUCAGUGGCGGUGCCUGUCGGCUCUACGCGUAGUAAUACUCCUCGCGAUUGAGUCCGGUAGGUUUACUUGCCAGCAACCCCCAAUUUUUACAGGUUGACCUCGGAUCAGGUAGGGAUACCCGCUGAACUUAAGCAUAUCAAUAAGCGGAGGA